This 135-nucleotide small nucleolar RNA is filed under the name Amborella trichopoda. RNAcentral describes it as "Small nucleolar RNA snoR74". It matches the Rfam family "Small nucleolar RNA snoR74". Lineage: Eukaryota; Viridiplantae; Streptophyta; Magnoliopsida; Amborellales; Amborellaceae. The record is from Rfam by way of RNAcentral.
AAAAAAGCAGAGGUCUGUACUUUUUUCCUCUGAGCUGGCGUCUCGUAAACUUCAGGGAAAUUAUUUGCACCAUUAUCGGGUGAACCUUUGUAAACUAUACUUGUGAAUAAAGGUUCAAUAAAUGUUGUGACAUUA